This 498-nucleotide ribosomal RNA is filed under the name uncultured bacterium. Its description in RNAcentral is "partial 16S ribosomal RNA". It matches the Rfam family "Bacterial small subunit ribosomal RNA", at positions 28 to 507 of the family's 1533-position model. The record is from RNAcentral.
GACGAACGCUGGCGGCGUGCCUAAUACAUGCAAGUCGAACGAGAGCGACCGGUGCUUGCCCUGGUCAAUCUAGUGGCGAACGGGUGAGUAACACGUGGGUAACCUGCCCAUCAGAGGGGGAUAACAUCCGGAAACGGAUGCUAAAACCGCAUAGGUCUUCGAGCCGCAUGGCUUGAAGAGGAAAAGAGGCGCAAGCUUCUGCUGAUGGAUGGACCCGCGGUGCAUUAGCUAGUUGGUGAGGUAACGGCUCACCAAGGCCGUGAUGCAUAGCCGACCUGAGAGGGUGAUCGGCCACAUUGGGACUGAGACACGGCCCAAACUCCUACGGGAGGCAGCAGUAGGGAAUCUUCCGCAAUGGACGCAAAUCUGACGGAGCAACGCCGCGUGAGUGAAGAAGGUUUUCGGAUCGUAAAACUCUGUUGUUAGAGAAGAACAAGUGCUAGAGUAACUGUUAGCGCCUUGACGGUAACUAACCAGAAAGCCACGGCUAACUACGUG